This 111-nucleotide non-coding RNA is filed under the name Alicycliphilus denitrificans. RNAcentral describes it as "TPP sequence". It matches the Rfam family "TPP riboswitch aptamer (THI element)". Rfam says of the family: Vitamin B(1) in its active form thiamin pyrophosphate (TPP) is an essential coenzyme that is synthesised by coupling of pyrimidine and thiazole moieties in bacteria. The previously detected thiamin-regulatory element, thi box was extended, resulting in a new, highly conserved RNA secondary structure, the THI element, which is widely distributed in eubacteria and also occurs in some archaea. The record is from RNAcentral. Lineage: Bacteria; Pseudomonadati; Pseudomonadota; Betaproteobacteria; Burkholderiales; Comamonadaceae. RNAcentral also lists the same sequence under 1 other name.
UGCCCUGCUCCGGGGUGCACGUAAUGGCGUGCUGAGAUGGCGGACCACGACCGCCAGAACCGCGAACUUGAUCUGGUUAGUACCAGCGUAAGAAGAGCUGCAGUGGGAUGG